UACGUAGGGGGCAAGCGUUAUCCGGAUUUACUGGGUGUAAAGGGAGCGUAGACGGCAGUGCAAGUCAGAUGUGAAAAUUAUGGGCUCAACCCAUAACCUGCAUUUGAAACUGUAGUUCUUGAGUGAUGGAGAGGCAGGCGGAAUUCCGUGUGUAGCGGUGAAAUGCGUAGAUAUACGGAGGAACACCAGUGGCGAAGGCGGCCUGCUGGACAUUAACUGACGCUGAGGCGCGAAAGCGUGGGGAGCAAACAGG
This 253-nucleotide ribosomal RNA is filed under the name uncultured bacterium. RNAcentral describes it as "partial 16S ribosomal RNA". It matches the Rfam family "Bacterial small subunit ribosomal RNA", at positions 524 to 776 of the family's 1533-position model. The record is from RNAcentral.